GCUUGCGGCGUGCUUAACACAUGCAAGUCGAACGGAAAGGCCCUGCUUUUGUGGGGUGCUCGAGUGGCGAACGGGUGAGUAACACGUGAGUAACCUGCCCUUGACUUUGGGAUAACUUCAGGAAACUGGGGCUAAUACCGGAUAGGAGCUCCUGCUGCAUGGUGGGGGUUGGAAAGUUUCGGCGGUUGGGGAUGGACUCGCGGCUUAUCAGCUUGUUGGUGGGGUAGUGGCUUACCAAGGCUUUGACGGGUAGCCGGCCUGAGAGGGUGACCGGCCACAUUGGGACUGAGAUACGGCCCAGACUCCUACGGGAGGCAGCAGUGGGGAAUAUUGCACAAUGGGCGGAAGCCUGAUGCAGCAACGCCGCGUGCGGGAUGACGGCCUUCGGGUUGUAAACCGCUUUCGCCUGUGACGAAGCGUGAGUGACGGUAAUGGGUAAAGAAGCACCGGCUAACUACGUGCCAGCAGCCGCGGUGAUACGUAGGGUGCGAGCGUUGUCCGGAUUUAUUGGGCGUAAAGGGCUCGUAGGUGGUUGAUCGCGUCGGAAGUGUAAUCUUGGGGCUUAACCCUGAGCGUGCUUUCGAUACGGGUUGACUUGAGGAAGGUAGGGGAGAAUGGAAUUCCUGGUGGAGCGGUGGAAUGCGCAGAUAUCAGGAGGAACACCAGUGGCGAAGGCGGUUCUCUGGGCCUUUCCUGACGCUGAGGAGCGAAAGCGUGGGGAGCGAACAGGCUUAGAUACCCUGGUAGUCCACGCUGUAAACGGUGGGUACUAGGUGUGGGGUCCAUUCCACGGGUUCCGUGCCGUAGCUAACGCUUUAAGUACCCCGCCUGGGGAGUACGGCCGCAAGGCUAAAACUCAAAGGAAUUGACGGGGCCCCGCACAAGCGGCGGGGCAUGCGGAUUAAUUCGAUGCAACGCGUAGAACCUUACCUGGGUUUGACAUGGAUCGGGAGUGCUCAGAGAUGGGUGUGCCUCUUUUGGGGUCGGUUCACAGGUGGUGCAUGGCUGUCGUCAGCUCGUGUCGUGAGAUGUUGGGUUAAGUCCCGCAACGAGCGCAACCCUUGUUCACUGUUGCCAGCACGUUAUGGUGGGGACUCAGUGGAGACCGCCGGGGUCAACUCGGAGGAAGGUGGGGAUGACGUCAAGUCAUCAUGCCCCUUAUGUCCAGGGCUUCACGCAUGCUACAAUGGCUGGUACAGAGAGUGGCGAGCCUGUGAGGGUGAGCGAAUCUCGGAAAGCCGGUCUCAGUUCGGAUUGGGGUCUGCAACUCGACCUCAUGAAGUCGGAGUCGCUAGUAAUCGCAGAUCAGCAACGCUGCGGUGAAUACGUUCCCGGGGCUUGUACACACCGCCCGUCAAGUCAUGAAAGUUGGUAACACCCGAAGCCGGUGGCCUAACCGUUGUGGGGGAGCCGUCGAAGGUGGGACUGGUGAUUAG
RNAcentral lists this ribosomal RNA (1436 nucleotides) under uncultured organism. Its description in RNAcentral is "partial small subunit ribosomal RNA". It matches the Rfam family "Bacterial small subunit ribosomal RNA". The record is from RNAcentral.